Tympanuchus pallidicinctus (lesser prairie-chicken) is the source of this 620-nucleotide long non-coding RNA. RefSeq lists it as uncharacterized. The record is from RefSeq and is a predicted model, not a curated record. The transcript has 3 exons. NCBI's taxonomy places the organism in Eukaryota, Metazoa, Chordata, Aves, Galliformes, Phasianidae.
GGGAAAAACAGGGAUUUCUGUGAAAAUAAGCGAUAUUUUAGGGGAAAAACAGGGAUUUCUAUGAAAAUAAGCGAUAUUUAAAGGGAAAAACAGGGAUUUCUAUGAAAAUAAGCGAUAUUUAAGGUUAAAAACAGGGAUUUCUAGGAAAAUAAGUGACAUUUUAGGGUUAAAAACAGGGAUUUCUAUGAAAAUAAGCGAUAUUUAAGGGGAAAAACAGGGAUUUCUAUGAAAAUAAGCGAUAUUUAAGGGGAAAUAACAGGGAUUUCUAUGAAAAUAAGCGAUAUUUCAGGGGAAAAACAGGGAUUUCUAUGAAAAUAAGCGAUAUUUUAGGGGAAAAACAGGGAUUUCUAUGAAAAUAAGCGAUAUUUCAGGUUAAAAACAGGGAUUUCUAUGAAAAUAAGCGAUAUUUAAGGGGAAAAACAGGGAUUUCUAUGAAAAUAAGCGAUAUUUAAGGUUAAAAACAGGGAUUUCUAUGAAAAUAAGCGAUAUUUAAGGGUAGAAACAGGGAUUUCUGUGAAAAUAAGCGAUAUUUAAGGUUAAAAACAGGGAUUUCUAUGAAAAUAAGCGAUAUUUUAGGGGAAAAACAGGGAUUUCUAUGAAAAUAAGCGAUAUUUUAAGGG